This 253-nucleotide ribosomal RNA is filed under the name uncultured bacterium. RNAcentral describes it as "partial 16S ribosomal RNA". It matches the Rfam family "Bacterial small subunit ribosomal RNA", at positions 524 to 776 of the family's 1533-position model. The record is from RNAcentral.
UACGUAGGGCGCAAGCGUUGUCCGGAAUUAUUGGGCGUAAAGAGCUCGUAGGCGGCUUGUCGCGUCGGAUGUGAAAGCCCGGGGCUUAACUCCGGGUCUGCAUUCGAUACGGGCAGGCUAGAGUUCGGUAGGGGAGAUCGGAAUUCCUGGUGUAGCGGUGAAAUGCGCAGAUAUCAGGAGGAACACCGGUGGCGAAGGCGGAUCUCUGGGCCGAUACUGACGCUGAGACGCGAAAGCGUGGGGAGCAAACAGG